Solanum tuberosum (potato) is the source of this 1203-nucleotide long non-coding RNA. RefSeq lists it as uncharacterized. The record is from RefSeq and is a predicted model, not a curated record. Lineage: Eukaryota; Viridiplantae; Streptophyta; Magnoliopsida; Solanales; Solanaceae. The transcript is spliced from 3 exons.
UAUUACUGUGGACCACAUAGCAAAAAUUGCGUUCUCUCUCUCUCUUGUUAUGUAAUUCUCUCCUUCUGUUUGCAACAAAGUCUUCUUUCAUAACCAAUAAAAAAAAAUUCCGUUCUUCUUUCUCCUAUACCAAAUUAAUCCUCCAUCUUGUCUCCGUUUGUGCUGAGCCAUCAUUAACCAUGAUGUAUAUUCAACCGAUAUCAAGAUUUUACCGUGUUAUAAUUAAGUUCACAGAGAAAAGGCAAAGUGUAUUUCCCAAAGGUAGCAACUGAUCCACGGCUUUAAAACUUGCUACUAGUUUAUUUUCAUGCUCUUUUUGAUCGUUAUAUUUGGGGAAAUCUCUGCUUUAAAAACAAAAAAAAAAACUUUAUGGCAGACGACGGGUCAGUACUUUUAAUACUUCUGCAUCAAACAUUUUCAUGUCGAGAAAUACACUUUUAUGUAUAUUCAACGGAUAUUAAAGAGGCAGCAUGACUUGAGAGAGUGAGGGAAUUGCAGAUGAGCAUUGGAACUAUUAGUAAGUCGCCUCACAUCACAAAGCUAACGGAGCCAAAGGGAACUAUUUCCAGGAAUCAAACGUAUUCCACUGGAGUCGGAAUUGUGUGAAUUAGAAUCAGAGUUGUCAAAAGAGAUGAACAUACCUAUCUUUUGCUAUCAGAUACAUUGAAUUUUCUCUUCUUUUUUUAAUAAUUCAUUUUGCUGGCAAAAGGAACUAAAUCACAUAUUUUUUUAGCAAAUUUACGCUAGACAGAAUAUGUAGAAGUCUUGCCUCAGAUAAAAUUUUAACUUGAAACAUCAUAUCGAUUUUAUUGAUAUCCAUUAAAACUCACCUUAGGAUCAAAACAUUUGUCAGCAGAAAAUAAAUUAAAUUAAUAAGAAUAAUCUAAAUAGAACGACAUAAAAUGAAACUCUACCUAACAAGUUGUGGGCCUUGUUUAUUUGAAACUGUAAGGUAAUGUCCAAGCAAUUUCUUUGUGACUGACCAAACAAAGAGAGUAGACUUUAUUGUAUUGAAGAUAAAUAAUCGGUCAAAAAAGCAUAUUUUAAUAAAUAUGUACAUUAGUAGAAGUACUUGUGGAGCAAUAAAAUUCGUAGCGGAGUUAUGAGUUUAGCGAAGUGUGUGUAAAUAUUUUUCUUAGUUAUGUUAAGGGUGUAAAAAAUUAAAUAUACACCUGUAAUAAUGGAGUAAUAUUUAAUCUCGUA